AUGAACGCUGGCGGCGUGCCUAAUACAUGCAAGUCGAGCGAACGGACGAGAAGCUUGCUUCUCUGAUGUUAGCGGCGGACGGGUGAGUAGCACGUGGAUAACCUACCUAUAAGACUGGGAUAACUUCGGGAAACCGUAGCUAAUACCGGAUAAUAUUUUGAACCGCAUGGUUCAAAAGUGAAAGACGGUCUUGCUGUCACUUAUAGAUGGAUCCGCGCUGCAUUAGCUAGUUGGUAAGGUAACGGCUUACCAAGGCAACGAUGCAUAGCCGACCUGAGAGGGUGAUCGGCCACACUGGAACUGAGACACGGUCCAGACUCCUACGGGAGGCAGCAGUAGGGAAUCUUCCGCAAUGGGCGAAAGCCUGACGGAGCAACGCCGCGUGAGUGAUGAAGGUCUUCGGAUCGUAAAACUCUGUUAUUAGGGAAGAACAUAUGUGUAAGUAACUGUGCACAUCUUGACGGUACCUAAUCAGAAAGCCACGGCUAACUACGUG
This 496-nucleotide ribosomal RNA is filed under the name uncultured bacterium. RNAcentral's name for it is "partial 16S ribosomal RNA". It matches the Rfam family "Bacterial small subunit ribosomal RNA", at positions 29 to 507 of the family's 1533-position model. The record is from RNAcentral.